RNAcentral lists this ribosomal RNA (254 nucleotides) under uncultured bacterium. Its description in RNAcentral is "partial 16S ribosomal RNA". It matches the Rfam family "Bacterial small subunit ribosomal RNA", at positions 524 to 776 of the family's 1533-position model. The record is from RNAcentral.
UACGGGGGGAGCAAGCGUUGUUCGGAUUUACUGGGCGUGAAGGGCGGGUAGGCGGCCACUGCAAGUCGGUUGUGAAAUCUCCGGGCUUAACUCGGAAAGGUCAAUCGAUACUGCAGGGCUAGAGUGCAGAAGGGGCAACUGGAAUUCUCGGUGUAGCGGUGAAAUGCGUAGAUAUCGAGAGGAACACCUGCGGCGAAGGCGGGUUGCUGGGCUGACACUGACGCUGAACUGCGAAAGCUAGGGGAGCGAACGGG